Molecule: ribosomal RNA, 492 nt
Filed under: uncultured bacterium
Lineage: Bacteria
Description: partial 16S ribosomal RNA
Rfam family: Bacterial small subunit ribosomal RNA
Source: RNAcentral
AGUGAACGCUGGCGGUAGGCCUAACACAUGCAAGUCGAACGGCAGCACAGUAAGAGCUUGCUCUUACGGGUGGCGAGUGGCGGACGGGUGAGGAAUACAUCGUACUCUACUUUUUCGUGGGGGAUAACGUAGGGAAACUUACGCUACUACCGCAUACGACCUACGGGUGAAAGCAGGGGAUCUUCGGACCUUUCGCGAUUGCAUGGGCCGCUGUCGGAUUAGCUAGUUGGCGGGGUAAAGGCCCACCAAGGCGACGAUCCGUAGCUGGUCUGAGAGGAUGAUAGCCCACACGGGAACUGAGACACGGUCCAGACCCCUCAGGGAGGCAGCAGAGGGGAAUAUUGGACAAUGGGGGAAAGCCUGAUCCAGACAGACCGCGUGGGGGAAGAAGGCUUUGGGUUUGUAAAGCCCUUUUGUUGGGAAAGAAAAGCAGCAGGUUAAUACCCCGCCGUUCUGACGGUACCCAAAGAAUAAGCACCGGCUAACUUCGUG